This 270-nucleotide ribosomal RNA is filed under the name uncultured archaeon. RNAcentral describes it as "partial 16S ribosomal RNA". It matches the Rfam family "Archaeal small subunit ribosomal RNA", at positions 477 to 747 of the family's 1478-position model. The record is from RNAcentral.
CGGCACCUCAAGUGGUCAGGAUGAUCAUUGGGCCUAAAGCAUCCGUAGCCGGCGCUGUAAGUUUUCGGUUAAAUCUGUACGCUCAACGUACAGGCUGCCGGGAAUACUGCAGCGCUAGGGAGUGGGAGAGGUAGACGGUACUCGGUAGGAAGGGGUAAAAUCCUUUGAUCUAUUGAUGACCACCUGUGGCGAAGGCGGUCUACCAGAACACGUCCGACGGUGAGGGAUGAAAGCUGGGGGAGCAAACCGGAUUAGAUACCCGAGUAGUCC